Molecule: ribosomal RNA, 347 nt
Filed under: uncultured bacterium
Lineage: Bacteria
Description: bacterial SSU rRNA
Rfam family: Bacterial small subunit ribosomal RNA
Source: RNAcentral
CUAUGCGCCUUGCCAGCCCGCUCAGUCAGAGUUUGAUCCUGGCUCAGGACGAACGCUGGCGGCGUGCUUAACACAUGCAAGUCGAACGGUAAGGCCCUUCGGGGUACACGAGUGGCGAACGGGUGAGUAACACGUGGGUAAUCUGCCCUGCACAUCGGGAUAAGCCUGGGAAACUGGGUCUAAUACCGAAUAGGACCACAGAACACAUGUCCUGUGGUGGAAAGCUUUUGCGGUGUGGGAUGGGCCCGCGGCCUAUCAGCUUGUUGGUGGGUGAUGGCCACCAAGGCGACGACGGGUAGCCGGCCUGAGAGGGUGUCCGGCCACACUGGGACUGAGAUACGGCCCAG